CGCGGGGUCAAUGUUUUUGUUUUCGUUCUACGUUCAGGUGUUGAGUGGCGACGUAUUAACCGUCGAUAACCAGCUGAAGCAGCUCAAGUUCUCGAGUGGAACGAGGUUGACCGUGCGCAGUGGCAGCCGUUGACAACAAAAACAAUGUAUGCACUAAGUUUCGCCGGAUGAGUGCCGGCGUCGAUCGCGAACCGCCAGAGCCGCCAAAUACGAAUACCAAGAACAGGAGGUAUUCGUAAAGGUCUGAACCACGCGAGGAUCGUCUCGAAGCAUGGUAGCCUCAACAGACGCUUGCCGCCACACGCGAGGAGAAAGCAGGAGGCCCGAAGUUUGAAUGUGAAGAGGAGGUGCGAAGAGCUGGCCCUCACUUUUUCAAGGCAGCCGCAGAACACUACGAGCCCCGAAUCACUGCCGCGGCUGACUCACGCGGAUGCUGUGCUGCACCCUGCACUGCACAUGGUUCGAAGCACACUUCAGGGGACCAGUGCAUGCCCCUGAUGCAUCGUCGCGGUAUGUUUUGUACUGCUUUUCCUAGCGGUGCACUGAGCAGUCCAAUCUUGAAGGGAGCACGCGAGUGCGUAGCCAGUGCUCCAUGCAGCAAGGACCGCAAGCACCCGCGGAAGCUUGGAGCACACGCAGUGACGCCAGCAGCCGUGCACGCUGGCGUCGUCUGCUACUGUACCGUCCUUUCGUUCGAAGCACUGUAUGGCUCUCUGCACGCUAGAAUGGGGGCUGUCGUUGAUGCUCGCAGGGGCGUUGCCCACAACUAAGCAGACGACCAAAGUCCUGAGCAGGUGACUAAUCGUUUCAUUGUUCUUUGGUAGGGAAAGGUAGAUAAUGUGCUUCUACUCCCAGCUUUUUUUUUUUUUUUUUUUUUUUUUUUUUUUUUUUAUCACCAUUUAGUAUGUUACCAUCAAAACAGCAUCCUGGUGUUCACAUAAAUAUGUGUUAACAAUACCUAUCGUCAAAUAUGUGACUCAAAGAGCCAACUGCGGCCGAGGAUAUCUUUUAAGUGUUCUUUUUCUCACAAAGAUCCCUGGCAUUGACUUUUUAGCCACGUCGUACCUUGAGUCCACAAAAACAAUGUGCUUCAGCUAAAUGGUAUUCACACAAAAUACAUCCUGACAAGCUGCUUUCACUCUCGAGCCUCGAAGAAAUUUUGCAGUUUGAUUUGAACUAUGUUGUAGGUUAAGGAGGUAGGGUCAGGGAAAAGAAGGUGGGAGAGGAGGAAGCGGGCACAAUGCUGGUCAAACCCUCUCCCUUCGCCGGCGUUGCAUCCAUCUCGUCCUCUCCCACCUUCCUUUUUCUUCCCCUACCUUCUUGAGUUGUCACCGACCAUAUAAAAGGCAUGCAUUGAUAUCACUUGUUCGUUUUGUGGCCAUGGCGCCAGCAAGGUUUGAGAAACGUAUCCUGCUUCACAGGGAUUCAGCACUCAACAUGGAGAAACUAUUGGCAGUGCUGCUGUAAUGUCUUUGUCCUCGUCUUUUGCAGCCAUCUAAAAAAGAGAAAUAUAAUACUAGGAACACAGAGCAACGUCACGCGCCAGUACAUAGUGUACUACGAAGGGCAGGUAAAUUGACUGCGGAACACGAUUUUCUCAAUGUCCUCACGGUUCUUUCGGCCAAGUACAUACAGAUAAGACGAUUACCAUUAGAAAUGUUGAACGCCAAUCCGAAAUGUUUUUUGGCGGUGUGCCGAGCAAAAGGACAUUGCUGCAACAGAAAACAUGUGCCAUCCUCCGCCUUUGGUGCUUCUGUGUCUGCGCCGAGCUUCCGCAGCCACCAACAGUCAACGCUGCAUGGACUGCCCGCCAUGCUUUCAUGCGUUCCAUGUAUGAUUGGCACGGCAUGUGGAUGUGUCAUGCAAGUGACAUCAGCGCUGUUGGCAGUGCCAUGCUGGUUGAGCUUUGCUAGGCUCUGACCAUUGACAAGCUGUUUUAUGCAAUAAUCGCUCUUGGAAGUCCCCAAACUGUUUUUAGCAAUUCAAGUGUCAGAUUUUUUUUAGCUAUGGUUAUACAGGUUUUCUUUUUUAACAUUUACAGAUUUCAAAGAAAAAGUGAAAGUUAUGACAGUUAUAAGUUAUACGGCCAGGCGGACAUUAGAUUCAUGGAAGAAUGCAGCUAAAAGUCCGUGUAGAUCAUGUGUAUCAUGCUUCUCUACAGCGCAGCUACAUACUUGCGUAGGACAACCCCCAUGAAGUGGGGUGGGGGGGCUGCAUGCAUGUGUUGGGUAGCCCCUCUUGGUUUUACAACUCUACCCUGUUGUAAAAUUUUAGAUUUUAAUGCGAACAAGUUGAUAACAAAAAAGAACUUGGUCAACAUUGAUCUUACAACUAGAGAUGUAAAAGGAACAAAAAUAGAGAACAGCAAAAUGUGGAAGAAGACAUCUCGCUUCUUUCAUUUUCAUUUGACUAAGUGACAUUGGUCGGCGACUGUAAGACUUUUAAUCACAAUAGUUAUACACCACAGGUCCCGGGGAUCAUGGCAUCGAUGAGCUCGCUUUCGCCUUGUCCAAGGUAGCAGCGGAACACUACGGGCAGGCCCGGAGUCACCGCACCGGCUGGCUCACGGGCGUCGUCCUGUACUCUGCACGGCACUGCGUGUGGCUUAACCGGCCAAGCAGAGGGUCACUGCAUGACCUUUAUGAGGCGUCGCUAGCCAUUGUUUCAAAUCGUCCUGAUUCAUGGGCCAAGCCUUUCAAGACUGCACUCUUAGGCCCAGUCCUUUUUGGUGGAUCGGAUCUUGCCAUCUUCCCCUCUCGUGGCUUCCUGUUGUACUUAAAUAAAUUGUCAUAUUUUUUUCUUAUGGUGGUGCAUACGUUUUGCCACACUUCACAAAAACAGUGUGGUGAAUCCAUGCCGCAGAUUACUGUGAAACGUGCAGGAAGG
RNAcentral lists this long non-coding RNA (2886 nucleotides) under Ixodes scapularis (black-legged tick). RNAcentral describes it as "uncharacterized LOC121836132, transcript variant X2". The record is from RNAcentral. Lineage: Eukaryota; Metazoa; Arthropoda; Arachnida; Ixodida; Ixodidae.